Pseudophryne corroboree (corroboree frog) is the source of this 2009-nucleotide long non-coding RNA. RefSeq lists it as uncharacterized. NCBI's taxonomy places the organism in Eukaryota, Metazoa, Chordata, Amphibia, Anura, Myobatrachidae. The record is from RefSeq and is a predicted model, not a curated record. The transcript is spliced from 4 exons.
AUCGGAGCCGCCAGCAGCUCUCUAUGUUUUCCUCAGCAUGGGAGAUACAGGCAGCGGCGGGCAGCCAGGCAGCCGAGGGGAGCUGCGGGACAGCACUCAUCAGCAGUUGUCAAUCAAGGGCAGGGGAAGUGUGGGCAUAGGCGUGUGCACGGGGGGUGUCUGGUGCACACAGGCACCCUCUAAUGUCCGGCACCUCCCUCACUCACGCAUGUAGCUGCAAGAGAUCGGCGACUGUGGCGAUCUAUUUCUGUGUACUCGCAGCCACCCGCACGCACGCUACACCCAGUUAGAAAGACCGGCGACAGGGGGACAAAUGUGCCGCUCCACCCACUACCGGAACCCACCAGUAAACGAUACUGCCGGGUAGGACGGGGGCCAAGGAGGGAGGAGACGAGUUGUCUAUGUAGUGGCCGGCGGCCAGAAGCGCUGAGCGGCGAGCGCACCCACAGUUACUGCCUGAGAAGAUGCCGGAGUCACCAUUUUGUGAGCCCCACUGGUGCUUAAAAGGUAACAGUUGAAACAGGUUGGGUACGUUAUCCUGGCGGUCGGGAUUUCGGUGGUCACAUGACCAACAGCGGCACCCCGACACUGACGAUCCUGACCCCAGACGAGUUUCAGAGCCAUUUGCCGAGAGGUUACCGCAGCCGAUUCCUUCUCCGUUAUACGGUAUUUGCAUAGGCAUGGCUCAAUGGCACAGUAGGGGCAUUAUCUCAGCUCGGUCCGGACCCAGAGUGAUCAGGAAGAAGUAUUGCAGAUUCCUAAAUAUAAUGCCAGAUGGGACAAACAGUUUCGGCAGUUAAGGAGAAGAUGGCAAAAUGUGACUCUCUCCCAAACGUAGCACUAUCUACCAUUCCCACCAUUUAUGUACAUAUUACCUAACCCUGUAGUGAAAUAUCCCAUGUCAGAAAUGGCCUCCACUAAUUAUACUGGAACACUGAUCUACUGUACAAUUAUCAUACAGUAAAGGUCCCGCUCUGAACGGAUUGUUCAGUGCUCACUGCCCUGGUGUCUAGCAUAUAUAAAUCCAAAUCUUUAUCCUGGUGCUAAAUAUAGUAUAUACUGGCUGGUAUAUAAUACAGAAUCUAAAUCCUGGUGACUGAUAUAGUAUACACUGACUGGUAUAUAAUAAUGAAUCCAUAUCUCGGUGACUGAUAUAGUAUACACUGACUGGUAUAUAACACAGAAUCCAUAUCCCUAUGACUGAGAUAGUAACACGGCCCUGUAUAUAAUACAAAUGCCAUAUCCCAGCGACUAACAUAGUAUAUACUGGCUGGUAUAUAAUACAGAAUCCAUAUCCCGGUGACUGAUACAGUAUAUAUAGUAUACACUGGCUGGUAUAUAAUACAUAAUCCAUAUCCCUGUGACUGAUACAGUAUAUAUAGUAUACACUGGCUGGUAUAUAAUACAUAAUCCAUAUCCCGGUGACUGAUACAGUAUAUAUAGUAUACGCUGGCUGGUAUAUAAUACAUAAUCCAUAUCCCGGUGACUGAUACAGUAUAUAUAGUAUAUGCUGGCUGGUAUAUAAUACAUAAUCCAUAUCCCGGUGACUGAUACAGUAUAUAUAGUAUAUACUGGUUGGUAUAUAAUACAUAAUACAUAUCCCGGUGACUGAUACAGUAUAUAUAGUAUACGCUGGCUGGUAUAUAAUACAUAAUCCAUAUCCCGGUGACUGAUACAGUAUAUAUAGUAUAUACUGGUUGGUAUAUAAUACAUAAUACAUAUCCCGGUGACUGAUACAGUAUAUAUAGUAUACGCUGGCUGGUAUAUAAUACAUAAUCCAUAUCCCGGUGACUGAUACAGUAUAUAUAGUAUACGCUGGCUGGUAUAUAAUACAUAAUCCAUAUCCCGGUGACUGAUACAGUAUAUAUAGUAUACGCUGGCUGGUAUAUAAUACAUAAUCCAUAUUUCGGUGACUAAUACAGUAUAUAUAGUAUACACUGGUUGGUAUAUAAUACAUAAUCCAUAUUUCGGUGACUGAUACAGUAUAUAUAGUAUACACUGGCUGGUAU